UAGGGUUAGGUGUGUUCGGAUCCCAUUAGCCUCCCCACGCGUCCGGCGACUACGCAGUUGAAUGGAGACUAAAGGUGUGCACGGGCCGACGC
Etheostoma cragini (Arkansas darter) is the source of this 92-nucleotide long non-coding RNA. RefSeq lists it as uncharacterized. Lineage: Eukaryota; Metazoa; Chordata; Actinopteri; Perciformes; Percidae. The transcript has 3 exons. The record is from RefSeq and is a predicted model, not a curated record.